RNAcentral lists this long non-coding RNA (594 nucleotides) under Olea europaea subsp. europaea. The record is from RNAcentral. Lineage: Eukaryota; Viridiplantae; Streptophyta; Magnoliopsida; Lamiales; Oleaceae.
CUGGUGAAUUCUUGAAAUGCGAUUCUCUUCUACAAGUAAACUAUCAUCAAUAUUCAAUAUAUAAAGAUAAUCGCAUUAUACAGGCCAAAUCCUUAGCAGCCUAAAUAAUGCUUAUUAACAAGUACUAUGCACACUAUUACAUUCAAUUAAUUAAGCUAAAAAGCUGAUUAUAAUUAAUAUCAAGUUCCACAGGAUCUCAAUCCUUCUUCAGUGCUUCUGGACCAGUAGUCGUAAGUUUGUUAACUAAAGCUAAUGCAUUGCUCGUCAUGUAACUUACAUUUGAAACACGAUUCAGUAUGCUUUUAACGACUUUUCCUUUUUGUCGAUCAAAUCCAUCCGAACAUGUAUCUUCAUCGGUAAGAGCAGCACUUAACCAUGUUGUAACAUCCCCCAUUUGGGAGUCGAAUUCCUGAAAAUUUAGCUUUCUAAGCACGUCGAGAGAUCUAUGAAGAUUUUCAAUUGUAUUUUGAAAAGACUCAAUGCAAUCCAAAAGUGCGAUUUUAUUUCUUCCUUCUACGAUCAUAUCACUUCUAUGUAUCAUCAAGUAUUUACUCACUUUUUUUGCUUCUCCUAUGGUGACGGAGACUCCGGCCC